This 79-nucleotide transfer RNA is filed under the name Candidatus Omnitrophota bacterium. Its description in RNAcentral is "tRNA-Asp". It matches the Rfam family "tRNA". Rfam says of the family: Transfer RNA (tRNA) molecules are approximately 80 nucleotides in length. Their secondary structure includes four short double-helical elements and three loops (D, anti-codon, and T loops). The record is from RNAcentral. Lineage: Bacteria; Pseudomonadati; Candidatus Omnitrophota.
GGGGUCGUGGCCUAGUCCGGUUUAUGGCGUCGCCCUGUCACGGCGAAGAUCACGGGUCCAAAUCCCGUCGGCCCCGCCA